AUUGAACGCUGGCGGCAUGCCUUACACAUGCAAGUCGAACGGCAGCACGGGAGCAAUCCUGGUGGCGAGUGGCGAACGGGUGAGUAAUAUAUCGGAACGUGCCCAGUCGUGGGGAUAACGUAGCGAAAGCUACGCUAAUACCGCAUACGAUCUAUGGAUGAAAGCGGGGGAUCGCAAGACCUCGCGCGAUUGGAGCGGCCGACAUCAGAUUAGGUAGUUGGUGAGGUAAAGGCUCACCAAGCCGACGAUCUGUAGCUGGUCUGAGAGGACGACCAGCCACACUGGAACUGAGACACGGUCCAGACUCCUACGGAGGCAGCAGUGGGAAGUUUUGGACAAUGGACGCAAGUCUGAUCCAGCCAUCCGCGUGCAGGAUG
RNAcentral lists this ribosomal RNA (377 nucleotides) under uncultured bacterium. Its description in RNAcentral is "bacterial SSU rRNA". It matches the Rfam family "Bacterial small subunit ribosomal RNA", at positions 30 to 410 of the family's 1533-position model. The record is from RNAcentral.